Molecule: long non-coding RNA, 1161 nt
Organism: Ostrea edulis (European flat oyster)
Lineage: Eukaryota; Metazoa; Mollusca; Bivalvia; Ostreida; Ostreidae
Exons: 2
Source: RefSeq, a predicted model, not a curated record
GUGCACGACGCCAGAGACAUUUACAUGUAUCGCAUGUCUGAGAUUAUACACAGCGCUAUAAAGAAGAUAAAGAUGUUAUUGGUAAACAUGGAGCUGGAGCCCAGAAUAGAGCUAUCCAUGGAGGACAUCACAGCUGCUGAGAUGGCCCCCAGACCUGGACGUAGCAAAAACCGCCAUUGUCAGAUUGUCAAAACACCAAUAUAAACUUGUGCAUAUGUUGUACAUCAACAAUAUUUUCUCUUUUAAAAACACACCAUACCUAUAAUGGCUACCCAGCUAGGCGUGAACUCGUGUAGAACAUAGGGCAGUGUCAUGCUGGACUGGUUUAGUGCCAUGGGGGAGGAUCCUAGUGUGGUGUUAGUCCAGUCUAAAAGGAAAAAAAAUGAAAUAUCAGUCCCAAAGUGUUACAGUGGCCUCACAGUAUAAGAAUGCACAGGACAAUACUCUAUAUAACUGACACCAAGCUUAUGGUUGGUUGGUAUUUUGAUAUAGGCCUAUACAUAACCAUGUGCUCAUCUGAAAUACAGCUCCUAUAAUCAUUAAAUUAAUCUGACAGUGUCUCUAUUUUCAGCUUCAUGCACUGCCUGAACUAAGUUCUCUAAUUUUGCCAAGAUAAGAUCAUUGUACUGUCAAAAAGCUAAAACUGGACUGUAGGAAAUUUUCACUUAUUGUCUUCACAAGCCAUAUAUAUACACAAGACAUUUUCUAUACCAGUGAAAUUACCAAAUUGAAAUCUCUUUCUAUUCUGUCCAAAAAUUGUAUCUUUCAAAAAUCACAUCAUUGUUCUUAGAAACUGUGCUAAAUGUAUGACUCUAAUUCAUAAUCCUUUGCAAUUUUAUUCUUUGUAUUGGUUCCUUUAUAACUUCCUCAUCAUUUCUACUUUUAGUUUUGAAAAAUGGCCUUCCUCUGGCACAUACCGGAAUUUAACAAAUUGUAGUUAUAUCUCAAUACAAUAUACAUGUAUAUUCCCCAUCAUCUCUAAACUCGUAAGAUUUGUAGGUGUCCCUGUGACAUUAGUCCCACCACAUCCUUAGGGAUAUUUGCAUCUACGCAAUCAACUUUCUGCAGAAACUGUGCAUGGACUAAUUUCUGAACAGUAACUGUUGAACAGUUGAAUUUGCAAAUAAUAUGAUGAAAAAUGAUAUCCUUUAGCUUCAGUAA